GAUAAACGCUGGCGGCGUGCAUGAGACAUGCAAGUCAUACGGACGAUCGGGGUUCGCUCUGAUCGUUAGUGGCGGACGGCUGAGUAACGCGUAGGUGACCUGCCCCGAAGUGGGAAUAACUGCCCGAAGGGUGGCUAAUACCGCAUGUGGUGGUGCGUUCGAUCGCACCAGUAAAGCCGCAAGGCGCUUCGGGAGGGCCCGCGUCCGAUUAGCUCGUUGGUGAGGUAACGGCUCACCAAGGCGACGAUCGGUAGGUGGUCUGAGAGGACGAUCACCCAGACUGGGACUGAGACACGGCCCAGACUCCUACGGGAGGCAGCAGUGGGGAAUUUUGGGCAAUGGGCGCAAGCCUGACCCAGCAACGCCGCGUGAA
This 373-nucleotide ribosomal RNA is filed under the name uncultured bacterium. RNAcentral describes it as "bacterial SSU rRNA". It matches the Rfam family "Bacterial small subunit ribosomal RNA", at positions 28 to 405 of the family's 1533-position model. The record is from RNAcentral.